AAAUUAUAAUUUUUUACAUAUUAAUAUGAUGAAAAGAUACAUCUUAAAAUGUUAAUCAAAGUUUUUAUAAUUUGACUCAAAAAAUAGAAACAUGACAAACAAACCGGACGGAUGAAAUAGUUGAUUAUACCCCUGCCAUUAAAACGAAAUUAUUUUAUACCUUUGCCGUUAUCAAUUUCAUCAUUUAUACUCUUCAAUUGACAAAAAUCUGUAAAUCAGUAAAAUUGACCCGAUUUCAUAAAAUUAUCCAUUCCCCAAAACCCAUGCCCGACCCAUGUAAGAACCUAACCCAAAAACAUUUAACCCAUUUUCCUUACCUUCAACACCAUUUUUACCAACUUAUUUUUUUCUUCCUUCUAAAUAUUUUUUCUUCAAAUUCCAGAGUCAGCUAGCUCAAAAAAUGAAACAUCAUCAUUGUUACCUCACAAUCGGAGAGUUUGGAGAAGUAAAUUAGAGGGGAGGAUGGGGUCGCAGAUACUUCUGCAAAUGCAUAGGGUAUUUGGGGAAGACAAUACAGAGGCGACGACGGAAACGACCAUGGUUGACUUCUCUUUUUCUCUUUCCUCCGAGCCCUCAUACUCGUCUAAAAGUGCUCAGAUCUGAUCGAUUUUUAUGUUUAAGGUGAUGUUCGACAAUAUUGUUGACGCCGC
RNAcentral lists this long non-coding RNA (650 nucleotides) under Solanum lycopersicum (tomato). Its description in RNAcentral is "partial TCONS_00013085". The record is from RNAcentral. Lineage: Eukaryota; Viridiplantae; Streptophyta; Magnoliopsida; Solanales; Solanaceae.